RNAcentral lists this transfer RNA (88 nucleotides) under Cafeteria roenbergensis. RNAcentral describes it as "tRNA-Ser". It matches the Rfam family "tRNA". Rfam says of the family: Transfer RNA (tRNA) molecules are approximately 80 nucleotides in length. Their secondary structure includes four short double-helical elements and three loops (D, anti-codon, and T loops). Lineage: Eukaryota; Bigyra; Bicosoecida; Cafeteriaceae. The record is from RNAcentral.
CGGAAAGGUGACUGAGUGGUUUAAGGUGUUAGUUUGCUAAACUAAAGUAUUGUUUAAGUACCGUGGGUUCGAAUCCCAUCUUUUCCGA